Molecule: transfer RNA, 72 nt
Filed under: Urocitellus parryii (Arctic ground squirrel)
Lineage: Eukaryota; Metazoa; Chordata; Mammalia; Rodentia; Sciuridae
Also listed under: 1 other name
Description: Spermophilus parryii (Arctic ground squirrel) tRNA
Rfam family: tRNA
About the family: Transfer RNA (tRNA) molecules are approximately 80 nucleotides in length. Their secondary structure includes four short double-helical elements and three loops (D, anti-codon, and T loops). Further hydrogen bonds mediate the characteristic L-shaped molecular structure. tRNAs have two regions of fundamental functional importance: the anti-codon, which is responsible for specific mRNA codon recognition, and the 3' end, to which the tRNAs corresponding amino acid is attached (by aminoacyl-tRNA synthetases). tRNAs cope with the degeneracy of the genetic code in two manners: having more than one tRNA (with a specific anti-codon) for a particular amino acid; and 'wobble' base-pairing, i.e. permitting non-standard base-pairing at the 3rd anti-codon position.
Source: Rfam by way of RNAcentral
GGAGAUGCAGCUCAGUGGUAGAGCCCCUGCUUAGCAUGCAUGAGGCCCUGGGUUCCAUCCCAAGCAUCACCA